ACCCAUUUUUGCCUGCUAGCACAGAGGAGCAGCCAUUAGAAGGCGAUUCUUCAUCAAGCCACUUUGUCGAGACCCACAAAAAAAGGAUCUUCGACUACCGUCUCAGCAGAGCCUGUCGGGUCAUAGAGAAUGCCUUUGGCAUAAUGGCACAGAGGUGGCGCAUCCUGCGCCGCCCGUUCAAAGCUAAGGACGAGAAUGUGAGAAGGAUUAUCUCUGCUUGUGUAGUCCUGCACAACUUCCUGCUCAAGGAGUCCCCCACUUCCCGAUCUGCAUACUGCCCUCCUGGAACAGCUGACCAUGUAGACUGGCAGGGAAAAAUCAGUGAAGGGAGCUGGAGGGCCGAGGACAGCAGCAACAAUGCACUGCCACCUCUGCGUAGCACAGGCUGUCACUCAACCAGAGCUGCCUACAAAAUGCGGGACGACCUUGCCAAGUACUUCGUCACUGAUGGCCAGAUCCCUUGGCAAGAGUCCAUGAUCAUGGACAGAACACUGUAGAGUGGUGUCACACAACGUGGCGACGAUCCUGCUCCGGAAAGCUCGUCUACGGAGCUUGCAUCGUAAAUGGUAUCGUCCAGCUGGCUUUGCUCGACGACCUCCGUGCUGCCUUCCAUGCCUGUGCUUUGGCGAAGCACGACUGGUGUUCUGUGUUAUGUGUCAUUCACCAAAAAAAAAAGCACACGAAACACUUUUGAGCUUCAAAUAUUCCUCACAGCUUUGUAGAAUAUUGUUUGCAUGAAAUGAACAUGGACAGUUGCUUUAUUAAAGCAACGCAAAACUAUGUAGGGCAACUUGAGAAAUAAGAUCUUUCAGUGGAAUUUUCCAAAUGUGUGCCAUGCAGUGAUGAAAAUACCUACUGAAGCCACAAUACAUUGAACUCCGUGCAAUUUCAGUGCAGUUAUUUGGUUCUGUUGACAUACGAGUCCAUUUACCCUUUCAGGAGGGAAGAUGAGCUGAGCUCGUGGAGCGCAUAAUUGCAAAGGAAGAUAAAUCACGAGACUAGCUCGUUAAGUGCUUUUUUGUUAUCCGUGCAGAUUUGCAGACUAUUUGAGCUCCUGUAAUGGUCUGCGCUUCUUCCAGAAGGUAUGCAUGCGUUUUAUGCUUCUAUGUAACAGCACAUAUUGCGAGGACCUGCUGAAGAGUAAUGUUCACAGUGCAGACUCCAUUUUGUUGCUUUCCGUCUCCAUGAAAAUGGGAUCUUAUGUGGUACAAGUGCGCGCUUCACGUCGGGAUGAGAAGGAAAUAAAAUGUGUGGAAUGUUUGAGUUUAGCCCCUCCAGCAAGAGAGAUUGAAUUGGCCUUGGGCAACAAGGUUUGCCUUGUUAAACUUUAAAAAAUUAUCCUUUUAGAGUAGCCUACACCUUGCUAACAAACCUUUUGUGCAGAAAAGUAAAUGUGUUAUUGUUAGACAUUGUCCUCUUCAGCUGCAGGCGAUUUUGAACUGGCAUCAGACAACACGGGUGUGCAGUAAAAUCCCCUUUAAGUUGAGUGGAUAAUAUUUUAUGUUUAAGUAAGCUAAACUGUUCUGACGAAAAGUUCCUGCACAUCGUUGCUUUUUAUGACCACUAAAAUUGUUUGCCCGGAUAGAAAAAAUUCGGGCUUCAUUACCCUUCACGGCUCGGGAAAUCAAUGUUUGUGCAGAUACUGAAAAAAAAAAUGUGAUACUUAUGUUUACCACGCCAUAGGUUACGCAAGUCAUUUCAUAGCCAACUUCGAAAAUAUGCUACUGUUAUUAUUCAUCAUGCAAAAAACAUCUAGUAGUACUUCGCUAUUCAUUAGUGAUUGUUCCUGCACAUGUAGUUCAUCAGAGCAGUUACUCGUUAAGUGUUAUGUUUAUAUUAUGCAAAAGUGAGGAUGUGGCCAACAUAUCAAUACUUAUGAAAUAUUUAGCUUUGCCAUCGCAUCAUGUGUGCGUGUUGCUCUGAGUGUAACUGCAUGACUAUUGACACGUUCACAUCGCCACUUAUAUAAAGGUUAUUCAUCAAUGUUUGCACAGUUAUUUACAAUUCUUCCCUUUACAUGGUCACAGUGUUUAUUCUCUAUGCACACUGCGCCAUCACUUGUGUACUACUGUUGUACCUUGAUGCCAAGCCAUUCAUUUCCCUCCGUUGCAGUGCAUUCAAUGUACAUUUUACUUGCAAAUUAGUUGACCAACUGUGUGUAUGUAAAAUAAAGAGCAUUUUGUGUCUAUAGGAUGUAUGCAUGUGUUUUUUCCUUUGUAAUUAUUUUGUUCAUAUCCUGCUUGUAAAUGACUGAAAUUGAAGUAAUAAAAGUAGACCAAAACAGU
Non-coding RNA from Dermacentor andersoni, 2285 nucleotides. The record is from RefSeq and is a predicted model, not a curated record. Lineage: Eukaryota; Metazoa; Arthropoda; Arachnida; Ixodida; Ixodidae.